GAUGAAGAACGUAGCUAAAUGCGAUACUUGGUGUGAAUUGCAGAAUCCCGUGAACCAUCGAGUCUUUGAACGCAAGUUGCGCCCGAAGCCAUUAGGCCGAGGGCACGCCUGCCUGGGCGUCACACGUCGUUGCCCCCCCAUCUACUCCUUCGGGAUUGCGGGGGGCGGAUGAUGGCCUCCCGUGCGCCUCGUCGCGCGGUUGGCAUAAAUGCCAAGUCCUCGGCGACGCACGCCGCGACAAUCGGUGGUUGCGAAACCUCGGUUGCCCGUCGUGUGCGGUCGUCGCGCAUCGAGGGCUCGAAAAAAUUGCCGGGCUCCGGCUCGGCUUUCAACGCGACCCCAGGUCAGGCGGGGUUACCCGCUGAAUUUAAGCAUAUCAAUAAGCGGAGGA
This 391-nucleotide unclassified non-coding RNA is filed under the name soil metagenome. Its description in RNAcentral is "partial contains 5.8S ribosomal RNA, internal transcribed spacer 2, and large subunit ribosomal RNA". The stretch from base 1 to 122 matches the Rfam family "5.8S ribosomal RNA", at positions 35 to 154 of the family's 154-position model. The record is from RNAcentral.